This 220-nucleotide unclassified non-coding RNA is filed under the name Hevea brasiliensis (rubber tree). Lineage: Eukaryota; Viridiplantae; Streptophyta; Magnoliopsida; Malpighiales; Euphorbiaceae. The record is from RNAcentral.
UGAUCCCCAACAACUGGGCAGUUCUUGAUUGAGAUGGAUUUUAGAUUGGUGCAAUAUCGGCCAACAGCUUGCAGACCCUCAUUCCCAAUGCCUGAACAAGCUUCUAUUGUUAGAUCAGUCAAAUUUGGACAGUUCCUGGCAAUUGCAAGCAAACCCUUGUCAGAAAUUGCAGGGCACCCACAAAGAUCAAGCUUCUCCAGCAUGUGACAGCCAUUAGCAA